This 73-nucleotide transfer RNA is filed under the name Prosthecobacter sp. RNAcentral describes it as "tRNA-Leu". The record is from RNAcentral. Lineage: Bacteria; Pseudomonadati; Verrucomicrobiota; Verrucomicrobiia; Verrucomicrobiales; Verrucomicrobiaceae. RNAcentral also lists the same sequence under 1 other name.
GCUCCCGUAGCCCAACGCAGAGGCCGCCGCUUUAAACCCGGCGUCAGUGUGAGUGCGAGCCUCACCGGGAGCA